GAUGAAGAACGAAGCGAAAUGCGAUAAGUAAUGUGAAUUGCAGAAUUCAGUGAAUCAUCGAAUCUUUGAACGCACAUUGCGCCCGCCAGUAUUCUGGCGGGCAUGCCUGUUCGAGCGUCAUUUCAACCAUCAAGCCCCCGGCUUGUGUUGGGGACCUGCGGCUGCCGCAGGCCCUGAAAAGCAGUGGCGGGCUCGCUGUCACACCGAGCGUAGUAGCAUACAUCUCGCUCUGGGCGUGCUGCGGGUUCCGGCCGUUAAACCACCUUCAUAACCCAAGGUUGACCUCGGAUCAGGUAGGAAGACCCGCUGAACUUAAGCAUAUCAAUAAGCGGAGGU
RNAcentral lists this unclassified non-coding RNA (336 nucleotides) under soil metagenome. RNAcentral describes it as "partial contains 5.8S ribosomal RNA, internal transcribed spacer 2, and large subunit ribosomal RNA". The stretch from base 1 to 120 matches the Rfam family "5.8S ribosomal RNA", at positions 35 to 154 of the family's 154-position model. The record is from RNAcentral.